Molecule: long non-coding RNA, 301 nt
Organism: Notothenia coriiceps (black rockcod)
Lineage: Eukaryota; Metazoa; Chordata; Actinopteri; Perciformes; Nototheniidae
Exons: 3
Source: RefSeq, a predicted model, not a curated record
CAGGACACCAAUGAGAUCGUGGCCAUCAAGAAAUUCAAGGACAGUGAAGAGAAUGAGGAGGUUAAGGAGACCACGCUGCGGGAGCUGAAGAUGCUCCGGACCCUGAAGCAGGAGAACAUCGUGGAGCUGAAGGAGGCGUUCCGCCGCCGCGGAAAACUCUACCUGGUGUUCGAGUACGUGGAGAAGAACAUGCUGGAGCUGCUGGAAGAAUUACCGAACGGCGUUCCGACCGACAAAGUUCGCAGCUACAUCUUCCAGCUGAUCCGCGCCAUCCACUGGUGCCACAAACACGACAUCGUCC